RNAcentral lists this transfer RNA (74 nucleotides) under Pirellulales bacterium. RNAcentral's name for it is "tRNA-Pro". It matches the Rfam family "tRNA". Rfam says of the family: Transfer RNA (tRNA) molecules are approximately 80 nucleotides in length. Their secondary structure includes four short double-helical elements and three loops (D, anti-codon, and T loops). Lineage: Bacteria; Pseudomonadati; Planctomycetota; Planctomycetia; Pirellulales. The record is from RNAcentral.
CGGGGCGUGGCGCAGCCUGGCAGCGCGUCUGGUUUGGGACCAGAAGGUCGCAGGUUCAAAUCCUGUCGCCCCGA